UAGUCCACGCCGUAAACGAUGAGAGCUAGGUGUAGGAGGUAUCGACUCCUUCUGUGCCGCAGUUAACGCAUUAAGCUCUCCGCCUGGGGAGUACGGUCGCAAGAUUAAAACUCAAAGGAAUUGACGGGGGCCCGCACAAGCGGUGGAGUAUGUGGUUUAAUUCGAUGAUACGCGAGAAACCUUACCUGGUCUUGACAUCUAGGGAAUUUCUAGAGAUAGGAAGUGCCUGCUUGCAGGAGCCCUAAGACAGGUGGUGCAUGGUUGUCGUCAGCUCGUGUCGUGAGAUGUUGGGUUAAGUCCCGCAACGAGCGCAACCCUUGUUACUAGUUGCCAGCACGUAAUGGUGGGGACUCUAGUGAGACUGCCGGUGACAAACCGGGAGGAAGGUGGGGGAUGACGUCAAAUCAUCACGGCCCCUUACGACCAGGGGCCACACACGUACUACCAAUGCCUGGGUACAGCGAGUAGCCAGAUAGCGAUAUCGAGCG
Molecule: ribosomal RNA, 488 nt
Filed under: uncultured bacterium
Lineage: Bacteria
Description: bacterial SSU rRNA
Rfam family: Bacterial small subunit ribosomal RNA
Source: RNAcentral